ACGGGGGGAGCAAGCGUUGUUCGGAUUUACUGGGCGUAAAGGGCGGGUAGGCGGCCACCGCAAGUCAGUUGUGAAAUCUCUGGGCUUAACCCAGAAAGGUCGACUGAUACUGCGGGGCUAGAGUGCAGAAGGGGCAACUGGAAUUCCCGGUGUAGCGGUGGAAUGCGUAGAGAUCGGGAAGAACAUCAGUGGCGAAGGCGGCCUGCUGGGCUGUUGCUGACGCUGAGGCGCGACAGCGUGGGGAGCAAACAGGA
This 254-nucleotide ribosomal RNA is filed under the name uncultured prokaryote. Its description in RNAcentral is "partial 16S ribosomal RNA". It matches the Rfam family "Bacterial small subunit ribosomal RNA", at positions 525 to 777 of the family's 1533-position model. The record is from RNAcentral.